AGCCUUCUGUAUCCGUGCUGAGAUUUCGUCACACACCAGACCAUAAAAGCUGGUGAGACUCCCUGGAUAAGUGAAGCG
Molecule: non-coding RNA, 78 nt
Organism: Schistosoma margrebowiei
Lineage: Eukaryota; Metazoa; Platyhelminthes; Trematoda; Strigeidida; Schistosomatidae
Source: Rfam